AAAGGGAGACCUAAUUCAGGUAGGAGACGAAAAAAAGUAGUCCCUACCAGGAAUCAAUCCCAAAAGGUCGGAGCGAGGCGAAAUUGGCUUUCAAACUAGGUUCUGGGUUCAAACAAGACCUGAAUCAGGAACAAGGGCUAUUAGCUCAGGUGGUUAGAGCGCACCCCUGAUAAGGGUGAGGUCCCUGGUUCGAGUCCAGGAUGGCCCACCUGCACAGGUGGCAAAAACAAGAGAAGCGAGGAAUCAGCACCUUAUCUUACUGACAUAGUAAGAGAGAAUGCUGGCUCUGAGUAAAGAGUCCAGAGGAACCUUGAAAACUGCAUAGAGCUAGGUGAAAAAGCCAAAAAAGAAGACCGCAAG
RNAcentral lists this transfer RNA (360 nucleotides) under uncultured Microcystis sp. RNAcentral's name for it is "partial 16S-23S ribosomal RNA intergenic spacer". The stretch from base 135 to 208 matches the Rfam family "tRNA". The record is from RNAcentral. Lineage: Bacteria; Bacillati; Cyanobacteriota; Cyanophyceae; Chroococcales; Microcystaceae.